This 490-nucleotide ribosomal RNA is filed under the name uncultured bacterium. Its description in RNAcentral is "partial 16S ribosomal RNA". It matches the Rfam family "Bacterial small subunit ribosomal RNA", at positions 30 to 507 of the family's 1533-position model. The record is from RNAcentral.
AUUGAACGCUGGCGGCAGGCCUAACACAUGCCAGUCGAACGGUAACAGGAAGAAGCUUGCUUCUUUGCUGACGAGUGGCGGACGGGUGAGUAAUGUCUGGGAAACUGCCUGAUGGAGGGGGAUAACUACUGGAAGCGGUAGCUAAUACCGCAUAAUGUCGCAAGACCAAAGAGGGGGACCUUCGGGCCUCUUGCCAUCGGAUGUGCCCAGAUGGGAUUAGCUAGUAGGUGGGGUAACGGCUCACCUAGGCGACGAUCCCUAGCUGGUCUGAGAGGAUGACCAGCCACACUGGAACUGAGACACGGUCCAGACUCCUACGGGAGGCAGCAGUGGGGAAUAUUGCACAAUGGGCGCAAGCCUGAUGCAGCUAUGCCGCGUGUAUGAAGAAGGCCUUCGGGUUGUAAAGUACUUUCAGCGGGGAGGAAGGGAGUAAAGUUAAUACCUUUGCUCAUUGACGUUACCCGCAGAAGAAGCACCGGCUAACUCCGUG